RNAcentral lists this ribosomal RNA (520 nucleotides) under uncultured bacterium. RNAcentral describes it as "bacterial SSU rRNA". It matches the Rfam family "Bacterial small subunit ribosomal RNA", at positions 791 to 1306 of the family's 1533-position model. The record is from RNAcentral.
UAGUCCACGCCGUAAACGAUGAGAACUAGAUGUUGGGAGGGUUUGCCUCUCGGUGUCGCAGCUAACGCGUUAAGUUCUCCGCCUGGGGAGUACGCCGGCAACGGUAAAACUCAAAGGAAUUGACGGGGACCCGCACAAGCGGUGGAGCAUGUGGUUUAAUUCGAUGCAACGCGAAGAACCUUACCUGCCCUUGACAUCCUCGGAAGCUCUUGUAAUGAGAGUGUGCCUUCGGGAGCCGAGUGACAGGUGCUGCAUGGCUGUCGUCAGCUCGUGUCGUGAGAUGUUGGGUUAAGUCCCGCAACGAGCGCAACCCUUGUCCCUAGUUGCCAGCACUUCGGGUGGGAACUCUAGGGAGACUGCCGGUGACAAACCGGGAGGAAGGUGGGGACGACGUCAAGUCAUCAUGGCCCUUAUGGGGCAGGGGCUACACACGUGCUACAAUGGGCGAAUACAGAGGGGCUGCAAGCCAGCGAUGGGUUAGCCAAUCCCUUAAAGCUCGUCGUAGUCCGGGAUCGGGAGU